Molecule: unclassified non-coding RNA, 375 nt
Filed under: soil metagenome
Description: partial contains 5.8S ribosomal RNA, internal transcribed spacer 2, and large subunit ribosomal RNA
Rfam family: 5.8S ribosomal RNA (bases 1-120)
Source: RNAcentral
GAUGAAGAACGUAGCGAAAUGCGAUAAGUAAUGUGAAUUGCAGAAUUCAGUGAAUCAUCGAAUCUUUGAACGCACAUUGCGCCCGCCAGUAUUCUGGCGGGCAUGCCUGUUCGAGCGUCAUUUCAACCCUCAGGACCCCUUCGGGGGACUUGGUGUUGGGGACCGGCACAGGGGCCUGCCUGCUUGUCUUGCAGCGCCCUCGCCGCCCCCGAAAUGAAUUGGCGGCCUCGUCGCGGCCUCCCCUGCGUAGUAGCACAAACCUCGCAACGGGAACGUGACGGCGGCCACUGCCGUAAAACAACCCAAUUUUAUUAGAGUUGACCUCGAAUCAGGUAGGAAUACCCGCUGAACUUAAGCAUAUCAAUAAGCGGAGGA